Molecule: long non-coding RNA, 1611 nt
Organism: Triticum aestivum (bread wheat)
Lineage: Eukaryota; Viridiplantae; Streptophyta; Magnoliopsida; Poales; Poaceae
Exons: 4
Source: RefSeq, a predicted model, not a curated record
AUGGGCACUCGGAAGGGGAGCAGGCAAGUCUCGUCCGGUGGGCGGUGUCGGUGCUGUGUUGUUCGCCGCCACUCAAAUCCGCCGCCACUCAAAUCAAAGCUCGGCGGAACCGCCAGAGUUGGGAGGCGCACAGGGUCGCGCGGUGACGUUGCGUGCAUCGGCAAGUGACGAGGCAGUUCUUCGAUCAAAAUAUCCCCGAGAUGCAAGCGCAAGCGAUUGUCCCCGGCGAUCUCAGAUUUUUUUCGCCCAUAUACUGAUGCAAGUGAUCCUCUACUACCCAGGAGUGUUUGCCGAUUUGCGGGAGGGCGACAGUGAGGACUGCAUGGACAAGCAGUGGCAAGUGGGACAGGCAUGAGGACCUAUUCACCGCUCUAAGAGGGACAUCGAAGGAACUAGAAGUGGAGGGCACAGUGACACCAUGUUCGUUCGUCUUCAUGAGUGCACAACAAUGGUUGUCAGUUGAAGGGGUGAAGCUCUCAUCUGGAAAGAGAUUUGGGAUGAAGAAGACCAGCGGAUGCUGGGGAAAGAACGAAGGUGUCAGUUCGGUGAGGGGGGAAGGGCAAUGUGGAGCAUGGGGGAGGGGAAGAGCUCACGUGUUUCCCCCCUGCACGUGAUCGGGAGCACGGACCAGGAGAGUUUCCUUUUGUGGUCGGGAGACUAAAGGGGGACAAUUUUUAAACUAAAAUGGAAAGUGUGCCACGGGACGCUAGGGAGCACAUGUUUGCUCCCUAGUCACGUCCCUUUUCUAAUAAGACGUGAUUAUGGUGGGGCCCUGACCCAUGUCUGCAUGUUAUGUUGACCGUCGAGACGGAGGGACCUUGCAGCCACGUGGGCUAACGGAUGGGGUGGACCUGUGAUGUCAGAGCCAGGCCAGACCAUCAUCACUAAGCCGAGCAUGGAAAUACUUCAUGGCUAAGGAAUGACCGCACGGCAAAGAUUUUCGACGUCUGGAUUGGCAUGGAAACGACGAGGUGCUUGGCGGAAACCGAGGUGGGAAUGAAGCUCCUCGGAUGCAAUCCAGCAAUCAAGAUAUUGAUACGUGAGGAUUCGCUGAAUCAAUUUUCAAGACCGACGACCUAAAACAAAGAUCUGCUCAGAAGAACCGAGGUGCGUCUAACUUGAAGACCGGUUCAGGGGCUACUGAUGAUGUCCUAGCUAGGCGGUCUCUCAUCAAGUCGUCUUUCCUGGCUAGAUGGGUCGGGCCAAGGACCCCCAUAUCGGUUCACCAAUGGGCCACGCCGAGUGGCCCAUGGCAUAUGAAAGGAAAGCUCCUGAAAACUUGACAUAUAUUCUUAAGAUAUUGAAACUCGUCUACAACACGUUCUCCUUAUACAUACCCGACUAGGAUGUAGCCCUAGACCCCCCCUCCCCCCAGGUGCCUAUGUAAACCGAGGGAAUGGGCUCGUAGAGGAGACACAACGAUCUUGAGGUAGAUUGUAUGUACUUUGUACUACACCAAAAAGUAAUAAAACACAAGAGGACGUAGGGUUUUAUCUUUCAGAAGAGCCCAAACCUGGGUAAAGACCCAUGCCCAUGUUACCAUCGUGUCAAGACACUUAAUUUGGGAUAGUAGCCACCAAAGAAAAAAAUGACGGACCACCUCCUCAUCCG